CUUUGAAAAAUCUUCAAUGGUUUUUUUGAGACUAAAAGGGAACUCCGUGAAAAUCGGGGACGGGCCCGCCGCUGUAAUCCCAUACUUUUUUCAACAGAGAAGAGUAACAUUUUAGCAUUUUUAUGUCACUGCCCGAUAGGUACGGGGUGGGAAGGCCGCUAAAGUUGUGGGGGAGUCAGAAGACCUGCCUGAACAAGAUUUUGAGA
RNAcentral lists this non-coding RNA (206 nucleotides) under Desulfobacterales bacterium. Lineage: Bacteria; Pseudomonadati; Thermodesulfobacteriota; Desulfobacteria; Desulfobacterales. The record is from RNAcentral.